RNAcentral lists this ribosomal RNA (253 nucleotides) under uncultured bacterium. Its description in RNAcentral is "partial 16S ribosomal RNA". It matches the Rfam family "Bacterial small subunit ribosomal RNA", at positions 524 to 776 of the family's 1533-position model. The record is from RNAcentral.
UACGUAGGGGGCAAGCGUUGUCCGGAAUCAUUGGGCGUAAAGAGCGUGUAGGCGGCCAGAUAAGUCCGCUGUGAAAUCUCGAGGCUCAACUUCGAGCUGUCGGUGGAGACUGUCUGGCUAGAGUCCGGAAGAGGAGAAUGGAAUUCCUGGUGUAGCGGUGAGAUGCGCAGAUAUCAGGAAGAACACCCGUGGCGAAGGCGGUUCUCUGGGACGGUACUGACGCUGAGACGCGAAAGCGUGGGGAGCGAACAGG